This 1772-nucleotide long non-coding RNA is filed under the name Notechis scutatus (mainland tiger snake). RNAcentral describes it as "lncRNA (ENSNSUG00000011684.1)". Lineage: Eukaryota; Metazoa; Chordata; Lepidosauria; Squamata; Elapidae. The record is from RNAcentral.
GCUGCCUGGCUCGCAGCGAGGAUCGUCCCGCCGCUGCUUCGUCCGCUUGCCCUGCCUCGCUCGUGCCGCCGCUUGCGCCGCCCGUGCCAGUCGGAGCCCCGCGACCCCUGAGCCGCCCCGGAGGGUUCAUGCAGCUGCAAUCCCCGCGAGCGCCAUGGCUAGACCAUUGCAGGACCGGAACCUCGUCGAGCCGACAGCCACUGUGUCCCGGAGCCCAACCUUCCCUGUGGGGGGGACGCUGGCCCUGCCGCCCGCCGUCUGCCGCCCGCCGCUCGCCUUGCCACCCGGGCUAAACUGCCUCUAUCGUUGCGGGCGGGCGCUGGAGCCUCCCGGGAGCGUCCGUGGUGAGUGGUGUCGCUUCCCGCGUCCGCCAGGAUAGCUGAUGAUCCCGUCGCCGCGCCUCGGCGAAUUUGUCCCAAGCGUUGCCUGAAGCGCGGCCCGACUGCUCUGCUUUGCUUCCACGGCUGCCCCGACGUGGCUGGAGCUGGUGCCGUGCUGCGCCUCUAGCGGAGCUUUUUUUCUGGGAAACCUCGCCUCGGCCCCAUCCUGGAGCCCAGCCCUCCAGGAAAGCCGCACCACCACCACCAGGCCAGUCCUCUGGAGCCCGAGGCUGGAGAGGGUGGGAGCAGCGGCCAAAGGGGGCGGUGCCCGCAGCUUCCACUAGGAUCCUGCCAGCCUCCUAGGCCCCUUGCUGACACCGGGACAGGCAGCGCCCCUGCCCUGCUGGCAUGGGGAUCCCUCCUGCCUGCCCUUAGGAUCUCAAGCCCCCAGCAGCACUGACCUGAAAUGCCCCUGCUAAGCUGCAGCAGCCCCAGUUGCCAAGGAGAUAGGAAGCCACACUGGAGCUGCUCCCAUGCCUCCUGCUGCUGAGCCCUGUCCCAACCUGCCAGAAGGCACCCUUGCCCGCCUCACCUCCCUUUCCUUCUCCACAGUGAGCAUGCAGCCAACAGCAUCCUGCACCCAAGAGGAAGCCCCCAAGGAGCCAGAGCAAAGUGCAGGGGGUCCUAAUGGGCACCUCCCAAGAACCCCACACAACCUGGAGCAGGCCAUCGGGGCUCGGCUUCGCCACAUGGGAGACCGUUUCCAUCAAGACCACGAGCACAGGGAACGCAGGCCUCAAGGUGCCCUCUGGGCCCACUUGUACCAUUUCGUCUUCCAUCUACUGGGUAUCUUGGACAACUUACCUGCCAGGGGGUGACAAACAAGCCUUGGAGUGAAGAGCCAUCUACUGAGCUGCUUUGGGACUUCUCUUCCUGCUGGCCAGGAGAACAGCAGUCUCAGUGGAAGAACAGAUGCCCGCGAACAGCCGGCCUCGAGCCCAUCAUGAUGGGCAAACAAUGCCCUGCUCCAAGUUGCCGAGCGCCAUGGCACCCUUUUGCCCCAGCCCAGCAGUGCCUUAUGGGGAGCUGCACAGAUGGGUGGGGGCGAGACAAGUUAGCACUAUGUGAGUGUGUUUCACUGAACCUGUACAUGCGGGUUGGGGGACAACAGAAUUGCACUUGCCACCUCGACUCGAGGGACAGCCUACAAUGUCCACUGUCAAUAGGGCCUGGACUUGUAUACAGAUAUGUGGGGUGGGGGAGGGGCGGCGAGAGAAAACCUGCACAUUAGUGCAGCUGCUGCUGUGUGUAUAUAGACGGUCUUCAUGCCUGUACAUAGAAUACAAUUGGGUGCUACCUGUACAUACCUGAGGGGCUGGUUGUCCGUAUCUUGUGAAGAGGUGGAAAUUUUUUUGUAUAUUUCCUUUUCAAUAAAACUGGAUCAAAGCAGAA